GGUUCGAUGGUGUAGUUGGUUAUCACUUCUGUCUAACAUUCUCGCAUUCCACUGCGUAAUGUGUGCACAGGCGGUCCUCAGUUCGAACCUGGGUCGAAUCA
Molecule: non-coding RNA, 101 nt
Organism: Mycena leptocephala
Lineage: Eukaryota; Fungi; Basidiomycota; Agaricomycetes; Agaricales; Mycenaceae
Source: the annotation of a GenBank genome assembly